UAAUCUGGCACCUUCGGUGUCCGAGUUGUAAUCUCUAGAAGUGUUUUCCGCGUUGGACCGCACACAAGUCUGUUGGAAUACAGCGGCACAGUGGUGAUACCCCCGUACACGGUGCGGACGCCCAGCGCUUUGUGAUACACUUUCAAUGAGUCGAGUUGUUUGGGAAUGCAGCUCAAAUUGGGUGGUAAAUUCCAUCUAAAGCUAAAUAUUGGCGAGAGACCGAUAGCGAACAAGUACCGUGAGGGAAAGAUGAAAAGCACUUUGGAAAGAGAGUUAACAGUACGUGAAAUUGUUGGAAGGGAAACGCUUGAAGUCAGACUUGCUUGCCGGAGCUUGCUUCGGUUUGCAGGCCAGCAUCAGUUUUCCGGGGUGGAUAAUGGUGGUUUGAAGGUAGCAGCCUCGGCUGUGUUAUAGCUUUCCACUGGAUACAUCCUGGGGGACUGAGGAACGCAGCGUGCUUUUUGCGAAGGUUUCGACCUUUUCACGCUUAGGAUGCUGGUGUAAUGACUUU
This 511-nucleotide ribosomal RNA is filed under the name Rhodotorula kratochvilovae. RNAcentral describes it as "eukaryotic LSU rRNA". It matches the Rfam family "Eukaryotic large subunit ribosomal RNA", at positions 118 to 641 of the family's 3401-position model. Lineage: Eukaryota; Fungi; Basidiomycota; Microbotryomycetes; Sporidiobolales; Sporidiobolaceae. The record is from RNAcentral.